RNAcentral lists this ribosomal RNA (253 nucleotides) under uncultured bacterium. RNAcentral describes it as "partial 16S ribosomal RNA". It matches the Rfam family "Bacterial small subunit ribosomal RNA", at positions 524 to 776 of the family's 1533-position model. The record is from RNAcentral.
UACGGAGGGUGCAAGCGUUAAUCGGAAUUACUGGGCGUAAAGCGUGCGCAGGCGGUUUGUUAAGUCUGCUGUGAAAUCCCCGAGCUCAACUUGGGAAUUGCAGUGGAUACUGGCAAGCUGGAGUACGGUAGAGGAAGGUGGAAUUCCCGGUGUAGCAGUGAAAUGCGUAGAGAUCGGGAGGAACACCAGUGGCGAAGGCGACCUUCUGGACCAGUACUGACGCUGAGGAGCGAAAGCGUGGGGAGCGAACAGG